UCAAGCUACCAAGGGCGCAUGGGGGAUGUCUUGGCGUUAGGAGGCUUUGAAGGGCGCGGAAGGCUGCGAUAAGCCCGGGGAAACCGUCAAACAGGUGAUGAUCCCGGGAUUCCCGAACCGGUCUGCACUGAAUUCAUAGGUGCAGGCAGCGAACGCGGCGAACUGAAACAUCUUAGUAACCGCAGGAACAGAAAGAAAAAUCGAUUUCCUCAGUAGCGGCGAGCGAAAGGGAAAUAGCCCAAACCGUGGUGGUUUCCACCGCGGGGUUGUAGGGCCCUCCACCGGAGUUAUCAAACAGCUGGCUAGCGGAACGAUCUGGAAAGGUCGUCCACAGAGGGUGACAGGCCCGUACGCGAAAGCUGACUGUCUCUGGAGGGUACCCUGAGUAGGUCGAGGCACGUGAAACCUCGACUGAAUCGACGGGGACCAUCCCGUAAGGCUAAAUACUCCCUAACGACCGAUAGUGAACAAGUAGAGCGAUUGAAAGAUGAGAAGAACCCCUGCUAGGGGAGGAAUGUGAACCUGAAACCAUGUGCCUACAAGCGGUCGGAGCGCUAUGGCCUUCGGGCAAUGCGUGACGGCGUGCCUUUUGCAUAAUGAUCCGGCGAGUUACCGUCAGCGGCUUGGUUAAGGCUCUCAGGGCCGUAGCCGAAGGGAAACCGAGUCUGAAUAGGGCGAUUGUGUCGCUGGUGGUAGACGCGAAACUGCACGAACUACCCAUGAGCAGGUUGAAUCGCGGGUCAAACCGCGUGGAGGACCGAACCCACUUGGGUUGAAAACCGAGGGGAUGACUUGUGGGGAGGAGUGAAAGUCUAAUCAAGCGCAGAGAUAGCUCGUUCUCUCCGAAAUAGCUUUAGGGCUAGCCUCGAGUUACUGCAUGGCGGGGGUAGAGAGACUGAUUUGGAUGGGGGCCCUUCCCGGGUACCCCACCGAGCCAAACUCCGAAUACCGUCAUGUCUAUCUCGGGAGUCAGUCCGCGAGGGAUAAGCUUCGCGGUCGAGAGGGAAACAACCCAGACCACCUGCUAAGGUCCCCAAGCAGUACUCAGUCACUAAGGAAGUCGAGUUGCAGUGACAGCCAGGAUGUUGGCUUAGAAGCAGCCAUCAUUUAAAAAGUGCGUAACAGCUUACUGGUCGAGCAACUCCGCGCCGAUAAUGAACGGGAGUCAAGUACUGCACCGAAGCAGUGGAACACGCUUGCGUGUUGGUAGGAGAGCGCUGUACGUCAGAUACAAGUCGCACCGUGAGGAGCGAUGUCGGGGCGUACAGGUGAUUAUGCCGGAAUGAGUAACGAUAAAGCAGGUGAGAAUCCUGCUCGCCGAAAGCCUAAGGUUUCCUGGGGAAGGUAAAUCCGCCCAGGGUUAGCCGGUUCCUUAGUCGAGGCCGAAAGGCGUAGACGAUGGGUAGCAGGUCAACAUUCCUGCGCCAUGUGCCGGACUGAUGGAGGGACGGCGUCUGGAAGGUGAGGGGACGGAUAGAAAUGUCCCUCGCCUGUGUGGAAGGUAGCUGUAGGCAAAUCCGCAGCGACAUCCGGAAGCACGGGACAAAGACGCUUAUGUUUCGAUAGUCAUCCGAAGGACGUCCAAGAAAAGCUUCUAGGGUUGAUGGCACAUGACCGUACUAAAACUGACACAGGUAGGCGGGACGAGUAGUCCUAGGCGCUCGGGAGAACACUGGUUAAGGAACUCUGCAAAAUGGCCCCGUAAGUUCGCGAUAAGGGGUGCCCCCUGUGGUUCACGCUGCGGGGGGUCACAGUAAAUCGGCAUCAGCGACUGUUUAUCAAAAACACAGGACUCUGCGAACUCGUAAGAGGAUGUAUAGAGUCUGACGCCUGCCCGGUGCUGGUAGGUUAAGGAAGAGGGUUAGCCGCAAGGCGAAGCCCGCGACCGAAGCCCCAGUAAACGGCGGCCGUAACUAUGACGGUCCUAAGGUAGCGAAGUUCCUUGUCGGGUAAGUUCCGACCUGCAUGAAUGGCGUAACGACUGAUGCACUGUCUCAACCAGUGACCCGGUGAAAUUGUAGCCGUGGUGAAGAUGCCACGUACCCGCAGUAAGACGGAAAGACCCCGUGAACCUUUACUGUAGGCUGAUAUUGGUCUCGGAUGUGUUCUGUGUAGGAUAGGUGGGAGGCUUUGAAGCGAUGACGCUAGUCAUCGUGGAGCCAACCUUGAAAUACCACCCUGGAUUCGUUUGAGUUCUAACGCUGAUUCCCGUGAAUCCGGGCAGCGGACAGUUUCAGUUGGGCAGUUUGACUGGGGCGGUCUCCUCCAAAAGAGUAACGGAGGAGUUCAAAGGUACCCUCAGCCUGGUUGGCAAUCAGGCAUCGAGCGUAAAGGUAGAAGGGUGCUUGACUGCGAGACCCAUGAGUCGAGCAGAUACGAAAGUAGGACUUAGUGAUCCGGUGGUCCCGAAUGGAAGGGCCAUCGCUCAUCAGAUAAAAGGUACUCCGGGGAUAACAGGCUUAUCGCUUCCGAGCGUCCAUAGCGGCGAAGCGGUUUGGCACCUCGAUGUCGGCUCAUCACAUCCUGGGGGUGGAGAAGCUCCCAAGGGUUUGGCUGUUCGCCAAUGAAAGUGGUACGUGAGCUGGGUUCAGACCGUCGUGAGACAGGUCGGUCCCUAUCUGCUGUGGGCGUACGAAACUUGAGGGGAUUCUUCUUUAGUACGAGAGGAUUUGGAAGGACGUUCCUCUGGUGUUCCAGUUGUCGCGCUCGCGGCACGGCUGGAUAGCUACGAACGGAAAGGAUAAACGCUGAAAGCAUAUAAGCGUGAAGCCCGCCCCGAGAUGAGGUUUCGUAGGGCUGAUGCCCGAAAGUCCCCUGGAAGACGACCAGGUUGAUAGGCCGGAUGUGUACGUGCAGCAAUGCAUUCAGCUAACCGGUACUAACGGACGAACGCUUGACCAC
This 2901-nucleotide ribosomal RNA is filed under the name marine metagenome. RNAcentral describes it as "bacterial LSU rRNA". It matches the Rfam family "Bacterial large subunit ribosomal RNA". The record is from RNAcentral.